Rhinichthys klamathensis goyatoka is the source of this 621-nucleotide long non-coding RNA. RefSeq lists it as uncharacterized. The record is from RefSeq and is a predicted model, not a curated record. NCBI's taxonomy places the organism in Eukaryota, Metazoa, Chordata, Actinopteri, Cypriniformes, Leuciscidae. The transcript has 2 exons.
CGCAACUUAAAAUAUUCUUAAUUAGUAAACUAAAAAUGAAAGGAAGAUGAUCAAACACAAAUGUCCCCUGAGAGUGAAAAUGAAAGUUUAAUAACUGUAGGGCAGGCAGUCAAUCCUGCUCUCUUUCUCUCUGACUCUUUUGUUAUUCGGGGGGAAUUCCACAAGUGCACUUGCUCAUCGCCACCACAGAACGGAUCCAGUAACAGGAGAGCGGUCACUGUUGCAGGUGCCUCUUCCACUCGGGGCAUAGGAAUCCGGUGGCAGACCUCACACAAGAGCAGACGGAGUCAACAGUGGCGCCACACUGCGACGAGAUCACAGGCUUGGUCGCUCGACUCAUGCUACGGUCAUUUCCCUCAACUCACAGGAAUGCGAGUGAUGUCCACUCCUCUACUCUUUCUUCGCUGACCCUUCACCCAGUCCAGCAUCCUAUCCUCCUUCACAAAUGAGGUAAUGGCGGCGAGCUGCUUCUGUACUGCUGCUCCUGCGUCAUCGCUCACUUCCCCUCCCGUCCACCGUCGGAUGUAAACACACGCAGUCACAUGGGAGCAGUACAUCAUGACCACACACACCCCACAGCGGAAUCGCAGGUUUCACAGCUGAGCAUGAAUCACACACACU